UUAUUACAAAAGAUGCAUCUGU
Molecule: small nuclear RNA, 22 nt
Filed under: Arabidopsis thaliana (thale cress)
Lineage: Eukaryota; Viridiplantae; Streptophyta; Magnoliopsida; Brassicales; Brassicaceae
Description: snRNA_09281
Source: RNAcentral